RNAcentral lists this long non-coding RNA (2921 nucleotides) under Varroa destructor (honeybee mite). RNAcentral's name for it is "uncharacterized LOC111251973". Lineage: Eukaryota; Metazoa; Arthropoda; Arachnida; Mesostigmata; Varroidae. The record is from RNAcentral.
CUGAGCUAUGUGUGACUAUGGGUGUGUGCGUGUAUUUGAUAAAUCGAUUUAAAUACUGAUUAUGCUGAUUGAGUGUAUUUCGGUCAAGUCAAGCGGGUACUUAAGAUGUGAAAUAUUACGUUCUGUACUACAGUACCGUAGUACAGUAAACAAACAGACAUGAAAAUUGCCGAGGACCCUCAUAAUACUCUCUUGCAAUGGUGGUUGCUGAUGUGGCCGUGACGCUUAUGCUGUCUGUCUCUUACUAACAAAAUGUUUACGUUCAAUACUACUGUCAUAGAUUUCAGGCAGCUUACGAAGAUCUUUUCGUGACUACACUGCGCACUAUUUCCUCAAAUAUGGCCAUCUCUUCAAAGGUCUCUCAUUUGUAUGAUCUGGGUAGGCGCAGGAGUAUUAGCUCGAAGAACAUGUCAAGUUUCAGGGACAGGCCUUGUAGCCUGCUACGGCUCGGACCGAAUACGGUGCAACGAAAAUUAGAAGUCUUUGUUAAAUCACGCGUGUUAUGCAAGGCACACUUAUGGCUGGAACAACAAGCAUAUGAGAUACUACUUUUUGCCCUACCAGAAAAAAGGCGCAAAAUGUCCAUACAGCUUGGGUCGAUUGGACAGCAAGAAAUACAGUAACAGGCAAUACUGCUUGUUGCACCGAUAAUGUUUUCGUUACGAUCUACGAUAGGCAAGCCCUCAAAGUGUUUACCCCCUAUAAACUAGAUUAUUAUGAAAAAAAAAAAAUAGAAAUUGUAGAUUUCCGCUUUCUACCGAUUCAUGUGGUCCGGCUUGGCUCCUUAUUUAGGUUAUUUAUAACGUUAGCAAAGGUCUGACGUUUCUCUCGGUCUAUCCUAGUCAUUAUCCCCGAUGUCUGCUUGUAGAGUGUUUCCUUACAUGUAAUGAAAAACGCUGAAAUGUAGGUGUUUCAGCAUUACAGACGGGGCACAUGGCCGUAAAAGCUGCGCUUUGCUAGCUAGCGGAUACGCCAACAGGAACGGGGAAUCUGUCACGCCGUUAUGGGCAUUAGACCACCCUGUACGUAGACUAUCGCCACAGAGCCCAGCAAAUAAGCCCGUCUGAGAAAGCCACAAAGAUAAGGGCUAAAAGGAGCCCCCCAUCCAUAAGAACGACAUCAUUCGUUCGGUAGCGUCAACAUUGCUCCGGGGCUUCUCACUCUUCAAACUGAUGUUGAAGGAAAGUUAGCUUAGUUUAAUGCCAUGACGAGCCAACAGGAAGCAGUGCGAAGAUGUGAUAGCCCAUUUGUAACGAAGAAUAGAAUCGUUGCUAUGCCAAUGGUCAAGAAAAUUAUCUGCAGAAAACCACUGAUAUAUUAAAAGAAAUACGUGUGUAAUGAAGAAAGCACACUACAUAGUGAUUACUAUUAACAAGAUUCUGUUUUGCUUAAAAACCCUGCUAGCUCUAUCAGUGGCUCGGCAGAUUUCAAAAUUAUACAUUUCUAGCGUAGUUUGACUGUAGCAGAAGCAAAAGUCUGCAGAAAAAAUAAAUCUUUCUUCAUAUAUGUUUUGGUCCAAGAGUGUUAGAAUCUUUCAGUAGCUCGGUAAAGGUUAGGGGAAUGAACAAAAAAUAUCGUUGCAAAGAAUCGUAUUUUCCUGUGUCCCAUCCAUUUCGUAUGCAUUCAUUUUACAGUACCCUAUGCAUAUGUCUUCGUAUGUACUAAUCACUUAGCAAUCACAAAAUUGCUUAGAAACACUGCUAGUAAAGCCCCAGAGAAUGGUUAAAUUAAUAGAACCACAAUAUAAAUAACGGUACAUUUUUUUACAUAGAACAUAUUCGACAAGCUCGACAAGGAAAUUUUUGUACCAUAUUCUAACGUUUUGUAGAAUUUUGUAAUCAAUUUUGUUGUUCUGAUGAUUGCGACCGAUGCUACAUCGACAAGAAACGCUGAAACGGCGCGUAUAAGCCACCAAUUCUAUAUUGUAUCUAUGUGCAAAGGCUAAACACUGACCAAUUCAAUCUUUCUACACAUAUUUGUAGUACGCGAUAUAAACGAAUUACAUCACUCGAGACGUCACUUAAUCCGCCAGACAGAGCACAUAACCACUGCUCUGUUUUUGUCGAAUCAGUUUUGGCCAUCAAGUUAGCCCUAGAUAAAGAAAUAAAGAUACCUUGCAUAGAUCUAACGUAAAUAUAUAUUUUUAUUACAAAACACAAUGGUCAAAUGUUCUAGAUAGACCGUGAAACACACUAGCGGGAGUUAUCGAACGGAUCUUUAUAUUUAUUCAACUAAACACCUAUUUGUUUUCUGCACUCGGACAGAAUAAGGAAUGCAAAUGCAGGCCGAAUCCGUUAUUUGUUCAUUGUCGUUCUCUCGCUCCCUUUACGCGUCCUAGGAAACAUAAAAGGGCUUACUUGGAGUAGCAUAGUAAAAUUGUUCAACUGAGGCGCAUACAGCGGGUACAAAGAAUGCCUUAGUUAAGAUUUUACUUUGAACUAUCAUUUGGGAAAUUUUACGGCAUCCAAGUUCUCCCUCUGUUGUUUCGUUCUUGUUCUUUGUGCCUGUUUACCAGGAAGAAUGAAUAACACCUCUUCGGGAGUAAAUAAACGCGAGUUCCGUAAAAAAAGGUCGAAUGUGUGAUGUUUUAAGAACUAUUGGUUUUCAGACGAUGCUCACUACGACGAAGUACGCAAGUUGAAAACCUACAUUGGACACAAGAACGGUUAUUACUGAUCAAGUCUUCCGAUGUUUACAAAGUAGCCCCAAGCAGACAUAAUCUACUACGGUUAUAUAUCCUCGUUGUACAAUUUUAGUGGUUUUCGUAACGUACCAAAGCUGAACAGAAUUUUCAUAUUUAUUAUAAACAAGCUACGUAUGUGCAUAUAAAAAAUUUUACGUGAAAGGAAAAUGAAUAAAGGUUUGAAAAAUUUAAUUAUCACUAUUAUUUGUGCGAGCGCUUGCGCCGUGUAUUUAGCAAA